RNAcentral lists this ribosomal RNA (242 nucleotides) under uncultured bacterium. RNAcentral describes it as "partial 16S ribosomal RNA". It matches the Rfam family "Bacterial small subunit ribosomal RNA", at positions 92 to 334 of the family's 1533-position model. The record is from RNAcentral.
CGACCGGCGCACGGGUGAGUAACGCGUAUCCAACCUGCCCACCACUUGGGGAUAACCUUGCGAAAGUAAGACUAAUACCCAAUGAUAUCUCUAGAAGACAUCUGAAAGAGAUUAAAGAUUUAUCGGUGAUGGAUGGGGAUGCGUCUGAUUAGCUUGUUGGCGGGGUAACGGCCCACCAAGGCAACGAUCAGUAGGGGUUCUGAGAGGAAGGCCCCCCACAUUGGAACUGAGACACGGUCCAA